GAUGAAGAACGCAGCGAAAUGCGAUAAGUAAUGUGAAUUGCAGAAUUCAGUGAAUCAUCGAAUCUUUGAACGCACAUUGCACCCGCCAGUAUUCUGGCGGGCAUGCCUGUUCGAGCGUCAUUACAACCCUCAGGCCCCCGGGCCUGGCGUUGGGGAUCGGCGGAAGCCCCCUGUGGGCACACGCCGUCCCUCAAAUACAGUGGCGGUCCCGCCGCAGCUUCCAUUGCGUAGUAGCUAACACCUCGCAACUGGAGAGCGGCGCGGCCAUGCCGUAAAACACCCAACUUCUGAAUGUUGACCUCGAAUCAGGUAGGAGUACCCGCUGAACUUAAGCAUAUCAAUAAGCGGAGGA
This 352-nucleotide unclassified non-coding RNA is filed under the name soil metagenome. RNAcentral describes it as "partial contains 5.8S ribosomal RNA, internal transcribed spacer 2, and large subunit ribosomal RNA". The stretch from base 1 to 120 matches the Rfam family "5.8S ribosomal RNA", at positions 35 to 154 of the family's 154-position model. The record is from RNAcentral.